GAGUUUGAUCCUGGCUCAGAUUGAACGCUGGCGGCAUGCCUUACACAUGCAAGUCGAACGGUAACAGGGAGCUUGCUCCGCUGACGAGUGGCGAACGGGUGAGUAAUAUAUCGGAACGUGCCCUGGAGUGGGGGAUAACUAGUCGAAAGAUUAGCUAAUACCGCAUACGAUCUACGGAUGAAAGUGGGGGCUUCGCAAGAACCUCAUGCUCCUGGAGCGGCCGAUAUCUGAUUAGCUAGUUGGCGAGGUAAAGGCUCACCAAGGCAUCGAUCAGUAGCUGGUCUGAGAGGACGACCAGCCACACUGGGACUGAGACACGGCCCAGACUCCUACGGGAGGCAGCAGUGGGGAAUUUUGGACAAUGGGCGCAAGCCUGAUCCAGCAAUGCCGCGUGAGUGAAGAAGGCCUUCGGGUUGUAAAGCUCUUUUGUCAGGGAAGAAACGGUCUUGGAUAAUACCUGGGGCUAAUGACGGUACCUGAAGAAUAAGCACCGGCUAACUACGUGCCAGCAGCCGCGGUAAUACGUAGGGUGCAAGCGUUAAUCGGAAUUACUGGGCGUAAAGCGUGCGCAGGCGGUUGUGUAAGACAGGUGUGAAAUCCCCGGGCUUAACCUGGGAAUGGCAUUUGUGACUGCACGGCUAGAGUGUGUCGGAGGGGGGUAGAAUUCCACGUGUAGCAGUGAAAUGCGUAGAGAUGUGGAGGAAUACCGAUGGCGAAGGCAGCCCCCUGGGAUAACACUGACGCUCAUGC
This 750-nucleotide ribosomal RNA is filed under the name uncultured bacterium. RNAcentral's name for it is "bacterial SSU rRNA". It matches the Rfam family "Bacterial small subunit ribosomal RNA", at positions 9 to 752 of the family's 1533-position model. The record is from RNAcentral.